UGGGAACCUUCCCUUCGGUCGGGAAUAGCUCAGGGAAACUUGAGGUAAUACCGGAUACGCCCUAACGGGGAAAGAUUUAUCGCCGUUGGAUGGGCCCGCGUCGGAUUAGCUAGUUGGUGAGGUAAUGGCUCACCAAGGCGACGAUCCGUAGCUGGUCUGAGAGGAUGAUCAGCCACACUGGGACUGAGACACGGCCCAGACUCCUACGGGAGGCAG
This 216-nucleotide ribosomal RNA is filed under the name uncultured bacterium. RNAcentral's name for it is "partial 16S ribosomal RNA". It matches the Rfam family "Bacterial small subunit ribosomal RNA", at positions 118 to 351 of the family's 1533-position model. The record is from RNAcentral.